UUUUUUUUUUUUUUUUAAGAUUUUAUUUAUUUAUUCAUGAGAGACACAGAGAGAGGCAGAGACAUAGGCAGAGGGAGAAGCAGGCUCCCUGUGGGGAGCCUGAUAUGGGACUUGAUCCCAGGAACCCCAAGAUCGCACCCUGAGCUGAAGGCAGACGCUCAACCACUGAACCACUGAGGUGUCCCCUUACUUCAGUUUUUAAUACACCUGGGUACUAGACUUGCUUUCAGUGUUGCUUUCCCAGACCAAGUCAGAUCUUGAUUUCUGGCAAUUGAUUCAUGCUAAAAUCUAUUAUUCCUAGAAAUCCCUAAAAACAGAUCCCACAUUUCUCCAAACUAGGCCCCUGGAUACUGCUCAGGAAAAAAAACAAAAAAACAAAAAAAAAAACACUUCAUGCUCUGGACUUGAAUUACUUUGCUGUGCCACCUACAGUGAGGGCCACCCCUGUCUAUUGCAAGUUACAAUCCCUCUCCCUGCUCCCACUAGGUUGUAUGCAGAUUUCUGUGUAUUGUAUUUUCUUUCUAGAUACUCUUUGAAUACUAUAUGAUUAGUACUGUCUGGAAGAGUUUGGACAAGUCAGUAAGUUUUUUUUGUCUUGAUUUCAGAGCAUGUAUAUCUUUGUACCUUAUAAGAAAUAUUCAUAUCUUGUUUUUUGAGUCAGAGGUGAUCAUUUGAUCUAAGAAUACACAUUUAAUACUAUAUAGGUUCAAUAUUAAGAAUAAGAAAAUAACAAGAUAAAUAAGACACAAUUCCAGCUUUCAGAGAGCCUUCAGGCUAAUAACGGAGGAGACAUACAUUUACAAAGUAAUUAUAUUUACCAAAUAGAAAAUUUGUAUAUCACUGGCUUUGAUAGCAUAUUAUGAUAUAUUAAGAUGACACACGACAGUUUUCUUUAAUGGACUGGCUAAGCAUCUAUUCAUAGAUAAAUGACAUCAAAGUGAAUAAUCUUAGUGUACCAAUCCAAUUAGCCAUGACUAACUUUCUAAGGACAAACCUAGUUAACUUGCAUGGGCAGGGGGAGGGAGGCCAGGGGCAUUGCUAAUUCUUAUUAAAGAAAAAAAAGGAAUGAGGAGGACUGCUUAUUUCCUAGAGACGAUUUUAUGAUUCUUCAUGUAUGUGAUAUGCAAGUAAUGUAGUAUACAAAUGCUAUCACCUUCAUAAAAUUAGAAAGCAAAUACAGCUUAUAUUUGAUAUUAUUGUUUUGUCUUUAAAAAGACCUUCUCUCCUAGAGUCCCCGGAUUGAGUCCCAUAUCGGGCUCCCUGCAUGGAGCCUGCUUCUCCCUCUGCCUGUGUCUCUGACUCUCUGUGUGUCUCUCAUGAAUAAAUAAAAUCUUUAAAAAUAAAUAAAUAAAUAAAAUAAAAAGACCUUCUCUCUAGUCAUCCAGCAUCCUAAAGUUCUGUCUAUUGCCACUUUCUCUCCAACCGAACCAACUUGCUCAUAAGUGCCUACAAAUAUUCUUCCUAUAUUUAGGGACUUUUUGACCUUAUGAAUCUGCAGAUCCCUAAAGUUCAACCUGACAUCUCAGUCUCUCUUGCAGCUAGGGCACAGGUAUGAGACUUUUCUCUAAACAGACAAAUCCAUGUGAUUUGAAAGCACAAAGAAGGGGUGGCACAAGGAAUCCACUCUGGCAAAGGUGGCAGCAGAAAUAUACAGCUUUAAAAAAAGAAAGAAAAGAAAUAUAUGGCUUUUAGAAACUUAGAAGAGAUUCUAGUUUCUUGUUCCCAAUGUUAAAAGUGGAUUUAUGGUGUCUGUGUCCAGAGAUGAUGACAGGUGAGAGUUCACUGAAGUUCAAUUCUAGAGUGAAAUUUAUGUGUAGUUUCUAGUUGUGUAAGGAAUGCACUAGGAAGUUUAAUGUUUGACCAACAGGUAUUCCGAAAGAGAAGAGAAAAACUGUGUAGAAAAUGAUGAGAAAGUAACAUAAGAAAAAUUUUUAGUACCAAAGAACAUGAGUUUUUAGAUAGAAAAAGCCUUUGGAAUACCUAGUACAAGGAAUGUAUAUAUUUUAAAAAGCCACGAAUAUACAACAUCAAAUUUCAAAAUUCCAUGAGCAAAGAGAAGAUUCUAAAGCUUCUGGAGAUAAUAAAAAAUCACGCACCAAGGAUCAGAAUCAGAAUAACACCACAUAUGUCUGGCAAUGUUGAACAUAAGAAACCAAUGGAAUAAUACCUUCAAAUUUUGAAGAAAACUGAUUUUCAUUCUGAAACCUAUAACCUGUUAAACUGUCAGUCAAGGGUGAGAUUAGAAUAAGACAUUAUCUGACAUGCAAGGUGUCCAAAAUUUUACUUUCUACUACUUUUUUUCCUAGGGAAACCACUAAUGGAUGUACACUACCAAAAUAAGGGAAUUAAACCAAUGUAGAUGAUGUAGGAUCCAGAAACAGAGGGCCCAACACAUAAAAGGGUUGACGGGAAAUCUCAGAUAACAACCAUGUAUGCAGUCAAGAGAGUAACAGGGCACCCGGGUGGCUCAGUCAGGUGAGCGUCUGCCUUUGGCUCGGGUCAUGAUCUCAGGGUCCUGGAAUCCAGCCCCACACUGGGCUCCCUGCUCAGCGGGAGUCUGCCUCUCUCUGCCCCUCUGCCCCUCCUCUCCUUUCGUGCUCUAAUAAAUAAAUAAAAUCUUUAAAAAAGAGAGAGAGAGAGAGAGAGAGAGAGAGCGCAACAGUCUAGAUUCCCAUAGGAUGGGGGAAGCCUCCGGGAGAGAGGUCUCUGAUUAAUAAAAACAACAGAAAUACAUCUAAUCGAUUCCUGAUACAUUUGGUUACCUAGAAAAUAGUACAGAGAGGGAUUUUAGAGUCGUUAAAGAAUCUGGAAGACAUGAAACAAUUAUCUCAUUAAAAAAAUAUACAAGCCUAGACUUCCACUCUGAAAUGGGAAGAGAACUAGUAAUUAUGAAGCCUGAAGUAGAAGAGUGAUAAAAACACAAAAAUUAUUGAAAUAGAAAAUCAGUAUAACAACAACAACACAUUACAUGAUAGAGAAGACUGUAUCCUUUACCUGGAUAAUUUUAAUGAGGUAAUGGGGAUACACGGCAUCACAAGUAUCCAAUGUGUCUACUAAUUCAAUCAAGGUAGAUCGAUAUCGAGUACAUUUAAAUAAAGGAACCAAUGUUUUCCCCUUCUUGUCUGAAAUAAUUAAACUGAGAACCACUGAAUAUUCAUUAACUUUAAAGAGCAGUAGUGAAAAAAGCCAGUAAGCAGCACGCUGGGAACUAUAACAUACUUAGAUGUUUAAAUAAUUUCUUCAAUAAAGGUAUCUGGAGAUUAUGCCAUAUAGUGGUAGUGACUAUCACUGUAGUUUGCUAACAUGAAUAUUUUCUACUAACAUCAGUAAGAAAUCAGAAUUAUAAAUAAAAUUUAUUUCUUAAAAAGGUAAGCUCCAGAGAGGCUUAGACACAAAACGAAUUUAAGAGAAAGAGGGGAGGAUGCCUGGGUGGCUCAGUUAGUGUCUGCCUCUUGAUUUUGCCUGGAGUCAUGAUCUCAGGGUUGACAUUUGAGCCAUGUGUGGGGCUGUGUGCUGGGUAUGGAACCUGCUUAAGAUUCUCUCUCCAUCUCCCUGUGUCCCUCCUACCUGCUCCCUCUCUAAAAAUAAAAAUAAAAGGAAGAGGGAAGGGAAAAUAGUUUGCUAGCUUGCUUUUUAAGAUUUUAGUUGGUGAAAAACAAAACAUGCAACAUUUAAUGAGAGAAAGUACUAGGACAAAUUCUCUUAAACAUUGUUAUAAACAACAUUUACUUAAACAUAGACAACGUGAGCAUUUUAAACCCAAGGAACUUGGAGGUUGCAUGGUAGAAAUCACAUUCAUCACCCCUGCAGUAUCCAGGUUGGCUGGGGUUCUGUCUCUAAACUCCAUUCUGCCAAGUAAAGCAGCUAGUCAGUACUGGUAAUUAUAGCUACAAUGGCUGCUCAAUGCAAUUGAUUCCUGUGUGUGGCUACCUCCACAUUCCUCUGCAAUGAUGGGUGUCACUACAUUUUAAAUUAUUAACAUUAGUAAGGAGAACAGAGUGUUUCAAAGGACUUGUAACAGUAUGUAAACAGUGAUAUUUGUGAAGAAAAGUGGAUUAACAAAAGAGAAAUUUGCAAAGUAUAAUGAUAAUGGCAGGGAAUACUUCUGAAAUUAUGCCCUCAUUUCCAUAAAUAAGCUACCCUAAUGUUUUCUGUUAAAAUGAGGACUUUUCCUUAAAGGGUCAUAGCAAAAAAGAAGAAAAUAAAAGUAGAAUAGAUUUUCGGCCGGAAAGUCAAAUGGAAGAAAUUAAAUUUAAGAACUGCCUUAUUCUUACUUAUCUUCAUAGACAUUUUAAUAUAGCAUAUGCAUUUUAUACAUAUAAGAAGAUAAAAUCCUUACAGUCUUCUCAACCUAGCUUAUAAAUUUCAAGAUACUUAAUGGAAGGGAAAUAGAAUCCUUCUUAUUUCCUGGACCAAAUCCAAUCUCUCAAACUGGAUAAAAAGAAUUUGAGAUAAGAAAAUAACUUGCCAAAGAAAACAGAGAGAAAGAUGUCUUGCGUUCUGCCAAAUAGAGGAUAUGCUAUCAAGAAUGAAACAAGAGACUUGCUAAAACUUUGAAACAAAUCAAACUGCUACUGCUUGGUAUGGGGAUGAACAUGGGAAAAUAAAAUCCUUGUAUGCACGGUAAGAAGGGAAAACCCCAAAUGUUGCUUGCUCACAUGCUCCUAAGAAUAAGUAAGUCAUAUUUCCAACGUAAUGUUCACGGUAACAUUUUCCACAUUUAAGAACAGGGUGUUGGAAAAAGGCCAAAGAAAAGCAAAAAUAACAACAAAGGGGUAAAAAAUAAGAACUUAGGUUGCAAUUUUGUGCACAAAAUAUAUUUCAAAUUUUGAGUCCAAAUUAAAGAAAUGAUUUGGGCUUGAGAAAAAAGUCUAUGGUGGUUAUAAUUUUUAAACAAAAAAGACAGGGGCAAAUAGAAAACUGCACCUAGAAAUAGAUAAGCCAUUUAAUAUCUCCUGAAAGAAAAAAAAAAAAGCAAUGGAAACAAUACAUAGUCUAAGCUAACAAGAGGUUGUGAAUGAUUGGAACCCAAUAGUUAGC
RNAcentral lists this long non-coding RNA (5040 nucleotides) under Canis lupus familiaris (dog). RNAcentral describes it as "lncRNA (ENSCAFG00845006040.1)". Lineage: Eukaryota; Metazoa; Chordata; Mammalia; Carnivora; Canidae. The record is from RNAcentral.